ACUCAAAUGAAUAGACGGGGGCUCACACAAGCGGUGGAGCAUGUGGCUUAAUUCGAGGCUACGCGAAGAACCUUAUCCUGGGCUUGACAUGUCCGCAAGGGGUAGGAAGUAGGCCGGCGGAAACGUUGGCCGAUUCGGUAUCCAGUCCGAGAACCUACCACAGGUGCUGCAUGGCUGUCGUCAGCUCGUGUCGUGAGAUGUCGGGUUAAGUCCCAUAACGAGCGAAACCCUUGCCUCCAGUUGCCAGCGAGUAAAGUCGGGGACUCUGGAGGGACUGCCGGUGUUAAACCGGAGGAAGGUGGGGAUGACGUCAAGUCCUCAUGGCCUUUAUGCCCAGGGCUGCACACGUGCUACAAUGGCAUGAACAAAGGGACGCCAACCCGCGAGGGGGAGCAAAUCCCAAAAAACAUGCCCCAGUUCAGAUUGAAGGCUGCAACUCGCCUUCAUGAAGUUGGAAUCGCUAGUAAUCGCAGGUCAGCAACACUGCGGUGAAUGUGUUCCUGAGCCUUGCACACACCGCCCGU
RNAcentral lists this ribosomal RNA (524 nucleotides) under uncultured bacterium. RNAcentral's name for it is "partial 16S ribosomal RNA". It matches the Rfam family "Bacterial small subunit ribosomal RNA", at positions 899 to 1397 of the family's 1533-position model. The record is from RNAcentral.